GUCUAGUUCAUAAAGCACAGCAGAUUUCGAGACUAACUGCAGCUUUCUUGAGUAACACAGAAAAUGAAGGAAUUGCUGUCUUGACUUUGAGGAGCUAAGUAUGCAAGAAACUUCAGGGCUCAACUCACACCAAAAUAUAACUUUUUUUAAUAAACAGACAUUGCAGCGGGGAAAUAAGUGAUAAAAUAACAUUUGGAGUAUCUCAGAAUGUUAAGAUGAACUGUUAACUUCCUUUGACUUUUUUUCUUUCCUCUCUAUAGGCUGGUAGAAGCGGAAAGACAGUUGCAGAAUUGGAAAAAACAAUUGGUUUGAUGAAAAAGGUUGUAGAGAGAGUCCAAAGAGAAAAUGAGGAUCUGAAAAAAACUCCAGCUGUGGUUUCUAAUGAGAAAUUACUUGGUCUUGAACAGGAAAAUGAGAAGCUAAAGUCUGAAAUGGAAAAGAUGAAACUUCAGGUGGGGGACCAGCUGAGUAUGCGUCAUGACUCUAAAACCAAAGGAAUGGAAAAAGUCAUUACUGAAAACGAGAGGCUGCGUAAAGAACUGAAAAAGGAAGCUGACAAUGGAGAGAAGCUACGAAUAGCAAAGAAUAACUUGGAGGUAUUAAAUGAGAAGUUAACAGGGCAGCUGGAGGAAACCAUUAAGAGGCUAAAUCUGGCUGAGAGCCAAAUUGAUGGAGCUGACAGCAAAACCUGGAAGCCCAUUGUAACAAGGAUGCACAAAACGAAGAUAAAGGAAAUGGAAAUGCAUAUUGCUAAAAAAACCCAAAGCAUUACUGACCUUAAACAGCUGCUGCAGGAAGCAACAGAACGUGAACAGAAUGCUGAUAAAAACUUACAAGAUCUAAAAGAACAAAUUGAGCUUCUCAAACAGUUUCCUGAAGGUACAAGGACAGAGCAAAGCCUUUUCAGGGAGCUUCAGCUUUUAAGAUUAACUAAUAACCGAUUAGAGAAAGACAAAGCAGAACUAGCUCAGCAGGUGGAAGAUUAUAAGCACCACAUGCACACAUGUACAAGCGAAGUUUCUGCAGCUGGUAAUCGUUUUCAAUACUAAAAUGAUGAUCCUCCUGUAUUUGGGGCCUUAAGUAAAAAUAGGUUAAAAUGUAUGUGCAAAAUGGUAAUAAACCUACAGAAUUAUGUGAAUUAUGUUAAUUACAGAGUAGCGUAAACUGGAGCAAAUUAAGGUCCUGGAUUUUGGAGUUACUUUCACAAGGGGUUUAUAGAGAAGUGUUAACUAAUUGCGGAGAUUUUUAAGAUCUUACGAACAAGAGCUCGUAAUAUUUGUCAGAUUUCCCUUUCCAAGAGGAUGUAUAGUUCAUCGCUUUGCUUUAUAAACCUCAAAAGACUUCUUGUGUCAGUCAUUCACUGAAAUCCUCCUGCUUAUUACCCCUUCUGCCUUGGGUUGGAAGCUGCCAUAGAAUUCUAUUCAUCUCUUCCCAGAUACCAGCUCUGCAAAUAGUUUAAGACUCCCAAGGGAAAAGCAGAGCACUAUAGAGCAGCACGUUGCCGUAUGACUGGGAAAAGAAAAACUAACCCUUUCUGAAAUUAUGAUUAUAGUUAACAAGAUCCUUACACUACGUUAUUGCCAAAUUUCCUGCAUUUAACUCAGAGAAACUGAAUGCAGGACUGGCAAUGGGAGCACUGCAUUCAGUUACAGGAGCCAGACACACCCACUUAAUUUGUGUAAGAACUAAAGCCCAAGUGACUUGAAUUUUUGGUGGUUGUUGAUCCCCAUUGGGUUUACACACUGUUACAAAUUGUUCAGCUUUCAGGGGAUGCAGAAUUACUGUGACAAGAUAACUCGUAUCAUUGUUUUUCAUUACCUUAAAUUUUGUAACAAAUUACCAUGACUUUUGCAGGACAGAAUGAAAUUUUACAGAAGGAUAAAAGUGACAGGUUAAUGGAAGCAGCUGACCUCCAGACACAGUUGAAAGCCUCUGAGCUGGAGAAACAGCAAUUAAGGGAAGAAACAAAAGCGCUGAGAAGAGAACUAGAAAACUAUGGCCCUUCCUUUUUUGAAGAAAUUGAAGAUCUGAAAUAUAACUACAGUGAAGAAGUUAAAAAAAAUAUUAUCUUAGAAGAGAAACUAAAGCAGCUUUCUGAAGAGUUUGGCAUUCAAGGGGAUAGUCCAGGCAAUGUUUCUGUUGAUUAGGCUAGUGUUUAGUGUCCUCAGUAUUAAUACAGUAAAUAAAUUCGGGGGCAAUUUCAUAAUAUUUAUUUUAUCUGUUUUUUAUCUCGGAAUAAUACAAGUCUAUUGAAGUUACAAUAGUUUGGCACAUACCUAAGAGCACAGAAUUGGAUUAGUCGACAGAUUAUGGUCAGUAUUUAUAUACACCAGUCAAAAAUGAGUUUUACUUCUCCCAGCCCCUUUGCAAUACUGUAUCUUAAUUUAGAACAGUAAUUUGAGUUAUACACAGGUGUUAAGCGAAGUUGAAACCUUGGACUUACCCUGUAAGUCAAGAAACUCUUAAAAUGUACCAAGUCUGCCAAGUUCCAGACCAGUAAAAACGUGCAAUUCGUUCUGCUGUCUCGCGCUAUCAUCCUUAACUGUGGACUCAGGGUCAGUGUGCUGACUACCUGCGCUUACAUCCCUGACUGUUUUUACCUCAAAUUUUAGAAAAUCCAAGAACAAAGAAUUGAAAAUAAAGUUAUAGUAGUAUUUCAACCAAUCUAAUGGUGUUUUGGUAUUUAAAUAAUUUUUCAUUUUGUAUAUUUUAUAUAGCUGGAUGUAUACUUUUACAGCACAAAUAAA
Molecule: RNA transcript, 2747 nt
Organism: Pezoporus flaviventris
Lineage: Eukaryota; Metazoa; Chordata; Aves; Psittaciformes; Psittacidae
Gene name: centrosomal protein of 290 kDa-like
Exons: 7
Source: RefSeq, a predicted model, not a curated record